This 74-nucleotide ribosomal RNA is filed under the name Medicago biflora. RNAcentral describes it as "partial large subunit ribosomal RNA". It matches the Rfam family "Eukaryotic large subunit ribosomal RNA", at positions 1 to 74 of the family's 3401-position model. The record is from RNAcentral. Lineage: Eukaryota; Viridiplantae; Streptophyta; Magnoliopsida; Fabales; Fabaceae.
GAGACCUCAGGUCAGGCGGGACUACCCGCUGAAUUUAAGCAUAUCAAUAAGCGGAGGAAAAGAACUAACAAGGA